CAGUCGAGGGGCAGCGGAGGCGAGUGCUUGCACUUGCCAGACGGCGACCGGCGCACGGGUGAGUAACACGUAUGCGACCUGCCCGUAGCAGGGGGAUAAGCGGAAGAAAUUCCGUCUAAUACCGCGUAAUAUCUUUCGGGGGCAUCCCUGAGGGAUUAAAGGAAGUGAUUCCGGCUACGGAUGGGCAUGCGGCGCAUUAGCUAGUCGGCGGGGUAACGGCCCACCGAGGCGACGAUGCGUAGGGGUUCUGAGAGGAAGGUCCCCCACACUGGUACUGAGACACGGACCAGACUCCUACGGGAGGCAGCAGUGAGGAAUAUUGGUCAAUGGGCGAGAGCCUGAACCAGCCAAGUCGCGUGAGGGAAGACGGUCCUAUGGAUUGUAAACCUCUUUUGUCGGGGAGCAAAAAGGCCUCGUGAGGCCACAAGCGAGAGUACCCGAAGAAAAAGCAUCGGCUAACUCCGUGCCAGCAGCCGCGGUAAUACGGAGGAUGCGAGCGUUAUCCGGAUUUAUUGGGUUUAAAGGGUGCGUAGGCGGACUGGAAAGUCAGCGGUAAAAUCGAGAGGCUCAACCUCUUUCCGCCGUUGAAACUGUCGGUCUUGAGUGGGCGAGAAGUAUGCGGAAUGCGUGGUGUAGCGGUGAAAUGCAUAGAUAUCACGCAGAACUCCGAUUGCGAAGGCAGCAUACCGGCGCCCAACUGACGCUGAGGCACGAAAGCGUGGGUAUCGAACAGGAUUAGAUACCCUGGUAGUCCACGCAGUAAACGAUGAAUACUAAUUGUCCGGUCAGAAUGAUGACUGGGUGAUACAGCGAAAGCGUUAAGUAUUCCACCUGGGGAGUA
Molecule: ribosomal RNA, 841 nt
Filed under: uncultured bacterium
Lineage: Bacteria
Description: bacterial SSU rRNA
Rfam family: Bacterial small subunit ribosomal RNA
Source: RNAcentral